UACGUAGGGUGCAAGCGUUGUCCGGAAUUAUUGGGCGUAAAGGGCUCGUAGGCGGUUUGUCGCGUCGGGAGUGAAAACUCAGGGCUUAACCCUGAGCCUGCUUCCGAUACGGGCAGACUAGAGGUAUGCAGGGGAGAAUGGAAUUCCUGGUGUAGCGGUGAAAUGCGCAGAUAUCAGGAGGAACACCGGUGGCGAAGGCGGUUCUCUGGGCAUUACCUGACGCUGAGGAGCGAAGGUGUGGGGAGCGAACAGG
RNAcentral lists this ribosomal RNA (253 nucleotides) under uncultured bacterium. RNAcentral's name for it is "partial 16S ribosomal RNA". It matches the Rfam family "Bacterial small subunit ribosomal RNA", at positions 524 to 776 of the family's 1533-position model. The record is from RNAcentral.